RNAcentral lists this ribosomal RNA (570 nucleotides) under uncultured bacterium. RNAcentral describes it as "partial 16S ribosomal RNA". It matches the Rfam family "Bacterial small subunit ribosomal RNA", at positions 355 to 914 of the family's 1533-position model. The record is from RNAcentral.
UGGGGAAUAUUGCACAAUGGGCGCAAGCCUGAUGCAGCCAUGCCGCGUGUGUGAAGAAGGCCUUCGGGUUGUAAAGCACUUUCAGCGAGGAGGAAGGUGGUGAGCUUAAUACGCUCAUCAAUUGACGUUACUCGCAGAAGAAGCACCGGCUAACUCCGUGCCAGCAGCCGCGGUAAUACGGAGGGUGCAAGCGUUAAUCGGAAUUACUGGGCGUAAAGCGCACGCAGGCGGUUUGUUAAGUCAGAUGUGAAAUCCCCGGGCUCAACCUGGGAACUGCAUUUGAAACUGGCAAGCUAGAGUCUCGUAGAGGGGGGUAGAAUUCCAGGUGUAGCGGUGAAAUGCGUAGAGAUCUGGAGGAAUACCGGUGGCGAAGGCGGCCCCCUGGACGAAGACUGACGCUCAGGUGCGAAAGCGUGGGGCAGCAAACAGGAUUAGAUACCCUGGUAGUCCAGCGCUGUAAACGAUGUCGAUUUUGGAGGUUGUGCCCUUGAGGCGUGGCUUCCGGAGCUAACGCGUUAAAUCGACCGCCUGGGGAGUACGGCCGCAAGGUUAAAACUUAAAUGAAUUGAC